RNAcentral lists this long non-coding RNA (588 nucleotides) under Struthio camelus australis. Its description in RNAcentral is "lncRNA (ENSSCUG00000000764.1)". Lineage: Eukaryota; Metazoa; Chordata; Aves; Struthioniformes; Struthionidae. The record is from RNAcentral.
UUUCUCGUUGCUUCCUACGCUUCUGCUUAGGGUCUUCUUAUAGGCCUGUGGCAGCCGAGCUCCCGACAGCCGCGGGCGGCUCGCGUCGCCGCUUCCAGCCCCUCGUGGAAGAGGCCCUUAAUUCCUAACCUCAGGCACUAAGUUGCACCCCGUGACAUUUGAUGUCUCCUUUUUAGGGAAGCGAGCGGUGAGAUAGCACUGCUCGUCCCGGCCGCUGCGAUGCUGCGGCACCAAUUCGCUUUGAUUACACACAGAGGGGGAAAAAAGGAGACGCGGGAAAGGCGACGUUUCUCCCCGUCCCGGCAGGGAGUUUCUCCUGCAGGCCCCGGGACGGCGAUGCCGCAACCCACCGUUCACACCACGUGUGUGGAGCGAAAAGGACAGGGUUUCGCCAGGGGACCGAAACCCCCUUUCUGCCAUGGGGGGAGACGGACGGACGUCACUUUUUGGCCCCUCCGUACAGGGAACCGCGAAGCAGGACGAGCGCUAUGCAGAGAUGCUCGGACAGAUUGCUCUGGGAGGAAGCUGCAGCUGAAACGGAUGCGGUCGCUGUUGGCUUCUCCAUAACGAGAGCAACGUUGGCUCAGG